UUUCCGUAGGUGAACCUGCGGAAGGAUCAUUAUUGUAUAACCGGGGUGGGAGGGCUGUCGCUGACCCGAAAGGUCGUGCACGCCCGAGUGCCCUCACACACAUCCAUCUCACCCCUAUGUGCACCACCGCGUGGGUCCCCCUUUGGCUUGUUCGGAGGGGUGCUUACGUUUUCACACAAACUUUGUAUGCAGUGUAGAAUGUAUUUUUUGUUUUUGCGAUCACGCAAUCAAUACAACUUUCAACAACGGAUCUCUUGGCUCUC
RNAcentral lists this unclassified non-coding RNA (263 nucleotides) under plant metagenome. RNAcentral's name for it is "partial contains small subunit ribosomal RNA, internal transcribed spacer 1, and 5.8S ribosomal RNA". The record is from RNAcentral.